GUUUAUGAGCCCCUGGGGCAAAGAUUUCAUUCCAUAGCCCUGAAGUUGGAAGCAGGGAGAUGAUUUGGUUCAUUGAUUUCUCUUCUGUUUCUUUCCAGUUCUCUAGCCCCUGAUCCCUAUCUGCUGGGGGAGUAGUUAAUAAUUUUUACUUCUAUCCUCUGGCUUUCAAUUAAUAAGUACUCAGGUGAUCUGAUUUAAGGCAUGCUUUGAGGUUGUUUAGCCACUUCCAUGAGCCCUUAGCUACAGUGUGUUUCAGGUAAAGUCAUUAAUAGUGUAUAAGGAUGACAAAACUUGUUUUACAUUAUCAUGAAAUUAUUUAAUUUUUAAACCUGGUAAAUUAAAAAAAAAUAGGUAUGUUUUUAAAAGGUUACCUAGAACCAUAGCCAUGGAAGUUUAUUCUCGCUCCAACCAACGUCUGUGCGUUUUUUUAAACUGCUGGAGACAGCUGAGUUUUAAGCCACUGUCAAUCAAAACGAACAACAAACAAACGAAGCCAACUUACCCAGCUGGACCAUGGUUUUCUUGCUUUUCCUCCGUUUCUCUGGCAGGAGAAAACAGCCUCCUAUGCAGAAAAUGAACAGAGCAGGUAGUUACAGAAAACUUAUUAUCCUGAUGCUGAGAAGCAAACACUUUAAGAGGGACAUCAGCUACUUGUGUCGCAGAGCAGCCCUGUUCCAGAGCAUCACCAGAACUCAUGGCCACAACCAGUGUAACCUCUGCAGUGGGUGUUGUUGUGCUGCCCUCACUAUAUGUGUGAUUCAGUCCUAUCAGUUGUGUCCAACUCUGCACCCCCAUGGACUGUUGCCCUCUGCAAGCUCCUCUGUCCAUGGGAUUUUUCCAGGCAAGAAUACUGGAGUGGGGUGCCAUGCCCUCCUCCAGGGGAUUUUCCCCAACCAGGGAUUGAACCCGUAUCUCUGACAUCUUAUGCAGUGACAGGUAGGUUCUUUACCAUAGUGCCACAGGGGAAGCCCACCAGACAAUGAGCUAGUGUCUUAUUUCACUCUUGUAAUAAUCCAUCAAAGUCCUUAUUAAUACUCUCAUCUCAGUUUAAUAGGAAAAGAGAGAGAGAAAAAGGAGAGUUAGAGGGUGAAUUCAUUUCUUCAACUGAGUGAUGAAAAGAGCUUUGUACCCUCGUCUCCCUGACUUCAAGACCCAGUCUCUUUUCAACCAUUUCACCAUUAAAUCAUGGUGCUAUGUUGCCAAGUAUGGAAGGUUUAAAGUAAGUGAGUGACAAGAUCAAUGCAGAAUUUUGGGUGGAAAAAAAAAGUCUAAACGGGGUGUGCGAUUCUGGAGGGGAAGACACUCUAUUCAUGUCUACCGGAGUUCCUCUGACUGGAAAAUGGAAACCACCUCCCACUUGAUUAAGUGCCUUCCCUGAUGCCUGUCCUCAGAGUCGUUCUCAUUCUCUUCCCUGCUGUGAAGCCAGGUUUAGGAGGAGAUGGAAGAGAUAAGCAGAUGAAUAAAAAUAAGCAGACCAGAUAAUGUUGGCUGAUU
RNAcentral lists this long non-coding RNA (1494 nucleotides) under Bos indicus x Bos taurus (hybrid cattle). RNAcentral's name for it is "lncRNA (ENSBIXG00005011516.1)". The record is from RNAcentral. Lineage: Eukaryota; Metazoa; Chordata; Mammalia; Artiodactyla; Bovidae.